AUGAACGCUGGCGGUAUGCUUAACACAUGCAAGUCGUACGAAGAAGCAAUUUUUAGUGGCGAACGGGUGAGUAACACGUGAGAAUUUGCCUUUAGGAAGAGGAUAACAAUUAGAGAUAAUUGCUAAUACUCUAUAUGUCAAAAAUUUGAGAGAGAAUCAAAUAAUUUGAUGAAAGAAGAAAUUCGCCAAAAGAGAAGCUCGCGUCUGAUUAGCUAGUUGGUAGGGUAAAGGCCUACCAAGGCGACGAUCAGUAGCUGGUUUGAGAGGAUGAUCAGCCACAUUGGAACUGAGACACGGUCCAGACUCCUACGGGAGGCAGCAGUGAGGAAUUUUCUGCAAUGGGCGAAAGCCUGACAGAGCAAUACCGCGUGAGGGAUGACGGCCUAUGGGUUGUAAACCUCUUUUCUCAAGGAGGAAGAUAUGACGUUACUUGAGGAAUAAGCAUCGGCUAACCCUGU
Molecule: ribosomal RNA, 458 nt
Filed under: uncultured bacterium
Lineage: Bacteria
Description: bacterial SSU rRNA
Rfam family: Bacterial small subunit ribosomal RNA
Source: RNAcentral